CCUACGGUUGGCAGCAGUGGGGAAUAUUGGACAAUGGGGGGAACCCUGAUCCAGCCAUGCCGCGUGUGUGAAGAAGGCCCUCGGGUUGUAAAGCACUUUCAGUGAGGAAGAACGCCUGGUGGUUAAUACCCAUCAGGAAAGACAUCACUCACAGAAGAAGCACCGGCUAACUCCGUGCCAGCAGCCGCGGUAAUACGGAGGGUGCGAGCGUUAAUCGGAAUUACUGGGCGUAAAGCGCGCGUAGGUGGCUGGAUAAGCCGGUUGUGAAAGCCCCGGGCUCAACCUGGGAACGGCAUCCGGAACUGUCAAGCUAGAGUGCAGGAGAGGAAGGUAGAAUUCCCGGUGUAGCGGUGAAAUGCGUAGAGAUCGGGAGGAAUACCAGUGGCGAAGGCGGCCUUCUGGACUGACACUGACACUGAGGUGCGAAAGCGUGGGUAGCAAACAGGAUUAGAUACCCGAGUAGUC
Molecule: ribosomal RNA, 465 nt
Filed under: Vreelandella stevensii
Lineage: Bacteria; Pseudomonadati; Pseudomonadota; Gammaproteobacteria; Oceanospirillales; Halomonadaceae
Description: partial 16S ribosomal RNA
Rfam family: Bacterial small subunit ribosomal RNA
Source: RNAcentral